UGCGAUCUCCUACGGGAGGCAGCAGUAGGGAAUCUUCGGCAAUGGACGGAAGUCUGACCGAGCAACGCCGCGUGAGUGAAGAAGGUUUUCGGAUCGUAAAGCUCUGUUGUAAGAGAAGAACGAGUAUGAGAGUGGAAAGUUCAUACUGUGACGGUAUCUUACCAGAAAGGGACGGCUAACUACGUGCCAGCAGCCGCGGUAAUACGUAGGUCCCGAGCGUUGUCCGGAUUUAUUGGGCGUAAAGCGGGCGCAGGAGGUUAGAUAAGUCUGAAGUUAAGGGCUGUGGCUUAACCAUAGUACGCUUUGGAAACUGUGUAACUUGAGUGCAAGAGGGGAGAGUGGUAUUCCAUGUGUAGCGGUGAAAUGCGUAGAUAUAUGGAGGAACACCGGUGGCGAAAGCGGCUCUCUGGCUUGUAACUGACGCUGAGGCUCGAAAGCGUGGGGAGCAAACAGGAUUAGAUACCCUUGUAGUCCAGAAGUG
RNAcentral lists this ribosomal RNA (481 nucleotides) under uncultured bacterium. RNAcentral describes it as "bacterial SSU rRNA". It matches the Rfam family "Bacterial small subunit ribosomal RNA", at positions 330 to 804 of the family's 1533-position model. The record is from RNAcentral.